RNAcentral lists this ribosomal RNA (471 nucleotides) under uncultured bacterium. RNAcentral describes it as "bacterial SSU rRNA". It matches the Rfam family "Bacterial small subunit ribosomal RNA", at positions 355 to 825 of the family's 1533-position model. The record is from RNAcentral.
UGGGGAAUAUUGGACAAUGGGGGAAACCCUGAUCCAGCGAUGCCGCGUGUGUGAAGAAGGCCUGAGGGUUGUAAAGCACUUUCGUCGGGGAAGAAAGCGUCCGGGUGAAUAAUCCGGACGGGUGACGGUACCCGAAUAAGAAGCACCGGCUAACUCUGUGCCAGCAGCCGCGGUAAUACAGAGGGUGCAAGCGUUAAUCGGAAUUACUGGGCGUAAAGCGCACGUAGGUGGCCAGACAAGUUAGAUGUGAAAGCCCUGGGCUCAACCUGGGAACUGCAUCCAAAACUGGCAAGCUAGAGUAUGGUAGAGGGUGUGGAAUUUCCUGUGUAGCGGUGAAAUGCGUAGAUAUAGGAAGGAACACCAGUGGCGAAGGCGACCACCUGGACUGAUACUGACACUGAGGUGCGAAAGCGUGGGGAGCAAACAGGAUUAGAUACCCGAGUAGUCCCUGAGCGGGCUGGCAAGGCGCAU